AGAAGACACAAAGUGUCACCACUGUAUUAUGAAGAACAAAUAUAAUGUGUGGCAAAGGAAAUAUCUCAAAGACUUUUACACAACAGACAUGAAAGAGCAAUAACCAAAUUCUUCUGAUUAGUCACACAUUCAAGCAAAUGCCAACAUAUUGCGUGACAUAAAAGAAACUUUAAAUACUAACCAAAGCACUGCCAUAAACAAAGAUAGGUU
RNAcentral lists this unclassified non-coding RNA (210 nucleotides) under Hevea brasiliensis (rubber tree). The record is from RNAcentral. Lineage: Eukaryota; Viridiplantae; Streptophyta; Magnoliopsida; Malpighiales; Euphorbiaceae.